RNAcentral lists this ribosomal RNA (468 nucleotides) under uncultured bacterium. RNAcentral's name for it is "partial 16S ribosomal RNA". It matches the Rfam family "Bacterial small subunit ribosomal RNA", at positions 28 to 507 of the family's 1533-position model. The record is from RNAcentral.
GACGAACGCUGGCGGCGUGCUUAACACAUGCAAGUCGAACGGAAAGGCCCUGCUUUUGUGGGGUUCUCGAGUGGCGAACGGGUGAGUAACACGUGAGUAACCUGCCCUUGACUUUGGGAUAACUUCAGGAAACUGGGUCUAAUACCGGAUAGGAUCUCCUGCUGCAUGGUGGGGGUUGGAAAGUUUCGGCGGUUGGGUCUGGACUCGCGGCUUAUCAGCUUGUUGGUGGGGUAGUGGCUUACCAAGGCUUUGACGGGUAGCCGGCCUGAGAGGGUGACCGGCCACAUUGGGACUGAGAUACGGCCCAGACUCCUACGGGAGGCAGCAGUGGGGAAUAUUGCACAAUGGGCGGAAGCCUGAUGCAGCAACGCUGCGUGCGGGAUGCCGGCCUUCGGGUUGUAAACCGCUUUCGCCUGUGCCGAAGCGUGAGUGACGGUAAUGGGUAAAGAAGCACCGGCUAACUACGUG